This 483-nucleotide ribosomal RNA is filed under the name uncultured bacterium. RNAcentral describes it as "partial 16S ribosomal RNA". It matches the Rfam family "Bacterial small subunit ribosomal RNA", at positions 30 to 506 of the family's 1533-position model. The record is from RNAcentral.
AUUGAACGCUGGCGGCAUGCCUUACACAUGCAAGUCGAACGGCAGCACGGGCUUCGGUCUGGUCGCGCGUUGCGAACGGGUGAGUAAUGUAUCGGAACGUACCUUUCAGAUGGGGAUAACGUAGCUAAAGUUACGCUAAUACCGCAUAUUCUGUGAGCAGGAAAGCAGGGGAUCGAAAGACCUUGCGCUGAUUGAGCGGCCGAUAUCAGAUUUGCUAGUUGGUGGGGUAAAGGCCUACCAAGGCGACGAUCUGUAGCGGCUCUGAGAGGAUGAUCCGCCACACUGGACCGGAGACACGGCCCAGCCUCCUACGGGAGGCAGCAGUGGGGAAUUUUGGACAAUGGGGGAAACCCUGAUGCAGCCAUGCCGCGUGAGUGAAGAAGGCUUUCGGGUUGUAAAGCUCUUUCGGCCGGGAAGAAAUCGCAUAGGCUAAUACCCUGUGUGGAUGACGGUACCGGAAUAAGAAGCACCGGCUAACUACGU